Molecule: ribosomal RNA, 451 nt
Filed under: uncultured bacterium
Lineage: Bacteria
Description: partial 16S ribosomal RNA
Rfam family: Bacterial small subunit ribosomal RNA
Source: RNAcentral
GUGGGGAAUAUUGCGCAAUGGGGGAAACCCUGACGCAGCGACGCCGUGUGAGGGAAGAAGGCUUUCGGGUCGUAAACCUCUGUCAGAAAGGAAGAACCUCCCAAGUCCGAAUAGGGCUUGGGACUGACGGUACUUUCAAAGGAAGCACCGGCUAACUCCGUGCCAGCAGCCGCGGUAAUACGGAGGGUGCAAGCGUUAAUCGGAAUCACUGGGCGUAAAGCGCGCGUAGGCCGCUUUGUAAGUCGGACGUGAAAGCCCUCGGCUCAACCGGGGAACUGCGUUCGAUACGGCGAGGCUUGAGUCCUGGAGAGGGUGGCGGAAUUCCGGGUGUAGGAGUGAAAUCCGUAGAUAUCCGGAGGAACACCGGUGGCGAAGGCGGCCACCUGGACAGGUACUGACGCUGAGGCGCGAAAGCGUGGGGAGCAAACAGGAUUAGAAACCCGAGUAGUCC